CAGCUCAGGCUCUGCCCCUCGGCGCGGCCCUGCCCUCUCAAAAUGCGCAAGCGCAGUCCGUAUCAGCCUGCCUCCGCCGCAGUCCUUGGCGCCAGAGUCGCCGCAGCAUCCUAGGCAGUAGAGUCAUCUCAGCUCGCUCCAGGUCCAUCCCUCAUCCUCUGCCUCUUCUGGCGCCAUGGCGAAGGCGUUGACGGAUAGCGAGAGGCAGAAGCAGAUCAGUGUGCGUGGCCUCGCGGGGCUGGGCGACGUGGCCGAGGUGCGGAAGAGCUUCAACAGGCACCUGCACUUCACGCUGGUCAAGGACCGCAAUGUGGCCACUCCCCGCGACUACUUCUUCGCUCUGGCAUACACGGUACGCGACCACCUCGUGGGCCGCUGGAUCCGCACGCAGCAGCACUACUACGAGCGGGACCCCAAGCUCCAAGUGAAGAACAGGGGACUGGAACCAGGCCCGGUAGUUUUAUGAGCUUGAAAGGGGUGAGAUCAGUCAUCUUCUGCAGGGAAUUGUGCCUCUCCCCCUCAACACACACACGGAUGAGAAGAAAAUACUUUGUAAUGCCUGCCUAAAACAGGAGAGAGCCGAAGGCUGUCUUUGAGGUUUCCACCUUGAUAAAACUUGUUUGGAGAUUGCUUUAGAAGUUGUUACUUUCUCUAUUUUGCAAACGUUUGUUCUCAGUAGGAAAACAAAGUAACUGAGAAAGUCUCUG
RNAcentral lists this long non-coding RNA (707 nucleotides) under Cricetulus griseus (Chinese hamster). RNAcentral describes it as "lncRNA (ENSCGRG00000025247.1)". The record is from RNAcentral. Lineage: Eukaryota; Metazoa; Chordata; Mammalia; Rodentia; Cricetidae.